GAUGAAGAACGUAGCGAAAUGCGAUAAGUAAAGUGAAUUGCAGAAUUCAGUGAAUCAUCGAAUCUUUGAACGCACAUUGCGCCCCCUGGUAUUCCGGGGGGCAUGCCUGUCCGAGCGUCAUUACAACCCUCAAGCUCAGCUUGGUGUUGGGCCCCGCCGCCCCGGCGGGCCCUAAAGUCAGUGGCGGUGCCGUCCGGCUCCGAGCGUAGUAAUUCUUCUCGCUCUGGAGGUCCGGUCGUGUGCUCGCCAGCAACCCCCAAUUUUUUUCAGGUUGACCUCGGAUCAGGUAGGGAUACCCGCUGAACUUAAGCAUAUCAAUAAGCGGAGGA
RNAcentral lists this unclassified non-coding RNA (329 nucleotides) under soil metagenome. RNAcentral's name for it is "partial contains 5.8S ribosomal RNA, internal transcribed spacer 2, and large subunit ribosomal RNA". The stretch from base 1 to 120 matches the Rfam family "5.8S ribosomal RNA", at positions 35 to 154 of the family's 154-position model. The record is from RNAcentral.